UUGACGCCCCAUCUCAAUUUACCAGAAACAAAAUAUGAAAAUCUGCGUUAAAUCCAUACAUAAACAGAUAGGAUACAAAAACACCAAACACACAUGAAACACACCAGCAAUGACACAAUGACCAAGUAAACAUGACACACACCAAGAAUGACACAAUGACCAAGCAAACAUGACACACACCAACAAUGACACAAUGACCAAGCAAACAUGAUACACACCAACAAUAAGGAUACGUUUCACACAUAGAUGCCGUCACAAUCACUUCUGGCAUUCUCAGAUUCAUCAAUGUCUAUGUUUGAUGGCAAUGGUCCACUGUCUGCAGUUCCCUCUUGAGUAUCUUCAUGACUGUAUCUUCUAGAAGGACCUCUCAUGACUAUAUACCAAUUUGAAGACUCAUCCUCCCCAGAGUAAAAGACUUGCCUCACUUGAGAUGCUAGUAUGUACGGGUCACUUGCAAAGGUGGCUUGACUAUGAUUCAUGUUAACAAGUGUAAAACC
RNAcentral lists this long non-coding RNA (497 nucleotides) under Brassica napus (rape). Its description in RNAcentral is "long non-coding RNA (BNAP_LNC024139)". The record is from RNAcentral. Lineage: Eukaryota; Viridiplantae; Streptophyta; Magnoliopsida; Brassicales; Brassicaceae.